UACGUAGGGGGCAAGCGUUGUCCGGAUUUAUUGGGCGUAAAGAGCGUGUAGGCGGCCUUACAGGUCAGCUGUGAAAACUCGAGGCUCAACCUCGAGAGGUCGGUUGAAACCGUAAGGCUAGAGUCCGGAAGAGGAGAGUGGAAUUCCCGGUGUAGCGGUGAAAUGCGCAGAUAUCGGGAAGAACACCCGUGGCGAAGGCGGCU
Molecule: ribosomal RNA, 203 nt
Filed under: uncultured bacterium
Lineage: Bacteria
Description: partial 16S ribosomal RNA
Rfam family: Bacterial small subunit ribosomal RNA
Source: RNAcentral